This is a long non-coding RNA of Gopherus evgoodei (Goodes thornscrub tortoise), 1420 nucleotides long. RefSeq lists it as uncharacterized. NCBI's taxonomy places the organism in Eukaryota, Metazoa, Chordata, Testudines, Testudinidae. The transcript is spliced from 3 exons. The record is from RefSeq and is a predicted model, not a curated record.
CGCGGACCUACCGGACCCGCGGCGGCAUCGGACGCAGCCCGGCGUGGCAGCGGCUGAGCCGGUCUGAGGGAAGGCGGGGAGUGGCCGCCGGGCGGACGCAGGGGGUGGCCGCUAGCCCGACGCCGUGUGGGGGUGAUGGAGGGGGUUGCCCCUCAGCCUGACGGGGCUCGAUUUGUGCUGUCUCCUACACACACUGGGGGAGGGGAGGAGGCGGGACCUCCCCCCGGCAGCUGCGCCCAGCCCAUUAACCCUUUACACCCAGGCGGGAUAGGGCUCUGUCCUUUCGAGGGGCCGCAGGCCUGUGACGUGGGAGGUCUCGCGUCUCCUCAGCAUCCUUCAAGUCAGCGGGCCGCCGUUUACGUCCGUUAGAUUCCACGGGCUGCCAAAAGAACCUUUCGGUGAGAAAGUUCCACCCCAUUCCCCGCGCGGUCCCCCUGUCUGGGGCCUGACUGGCCUUUGGAACAUUCCGUUUUGCUGCAAUCAAGCCGGCUGCUCUGCACAGGAGGAAAGAUGAACAUGUGGUCUGCAGUCCCAAGAACCAUUGAGGAAUCAAGUUUGUAGUUGUAGGAUGUUCAGAUUAGGAUGGAGCACUUGACCUGCAUUCUGAGAUAACAGUCAAAGUUUGUUCAGGAGCUGCCACAGAGGGCAAGAGAUUGAAGUGCAAGCACUGUUCCUGUUGUGACCAUUCGUCUUGGACUGUGUGAGGACCCCAAUGUGCUCCCCAUCCCAAAAGGGAAGCAUUCAACAUUACUAUGACUGUAGAGGAUUCUGGAUGAGCAGGAUUCCUGCACAAACUUUGGAUGUAUUCAGCCACCAGAUGACGGACUGCAGGACCUGAUUGGGCACAGAUACUUGCUUCUUAAUACUGUUUGUUGGGUACACAAACAGUCCUGAGCCACCCCUGGAGAUACUGAAGAUACAAACUGCUGCUUUGUGUUACAAAAAUAAAAGCUGCCAUACAUAACAGCAGUCGCAGACACGUCCUUGCUGGAACUUGAGGGACGAGCUUCACUCUUUGUACAUGGUUCUUUAGAGCAAGGAACCCAUCAAGAGGGAGAGAAACUCUUCCAAUUAUCGAAUCCAGAAGUGCUCCGUUAAAGAGAAUUCGUUGUGCAGAGGUCAAGAUAGAUUUCUUGAGAUUUAUUUGCAGGCCCAGGCUUCAGAAUAGUGAAGUUGUUGUUUGGACGGCAAACCUAACUCCUGAUCUGACCAACCCUUGAGGAGCCAGUUGUCAAGGCAGAGAAAGACAGUUAUCCCUAUAUGACGGAGGUAGGCAGCUACAAUACCCAUGAUUUUUAAGAACACCUUUGGGGCGGAUAACAGGCUAAAAAAGUGUAGAACCUGGUAAUGAUUGUGACUGAAAGUGAAACAAAGAAAUCUUUUGUGAGAAGGAUGAAUCAUUACGUGGAAGUAGGCAUCU